RNAcentral lists this ribosomal RNA (225 nucleotides) under Triticum aestivum (bread wheat). RNAcentral's name for it is "partial small subunit ribosomal RNA". Lineage: Eukaryota; Viridiplantae; Streptophyta; Magnoliopsida; Poales; Poaceae. The record is from RNAcentral.
CUACUUGAUGCAUAUUGCUUGGCUUCAGGCCAAAGGGUAAACUAUGAUAAAUCGUCCAUAUUUUUCAGUAAGGGAUGCCCGGAGACCCUUAGGGUGGAGAUAAAGAAUAUACUUAAUGUGCAGAAUGAGUCUUUGAGUGAAAAGUAUUUGGGUCUGCCGACCGAUGUUGGACAGUUCAAAAAUGGCACCUUCAAAUAUUUACGAGACAGAGUUUGGGAAAGGAUA